This 484-nucleotide ribosomal RNA is filed under the name uncultured bacterium. RNAcentral's name for it is "partial 16S ribosomal RNA". It matches the Rfam family "Bacterial small subunit ribosomal RNA", at positions 29 to 507 of the family's 1533-position model. The record is from RNAcentral.
AUUGAACGCUGGCGGCAUGCUUUACACAUGCAAGUCGAACGGCAGCGCGGGCUUCGGCCUGGCGGCGAGUGGCGAACGGGUGAGUAAUACAUCGGAACGUUCCCAGUAGUGGGGGAUAGCUCGGCGAAAGCCGGAUUAAUACCGCAUACGACCUGAGGGUGAAAGCGGGGGAUCUUCGGACCUCGCGCUAUUGGAGCGGCCGAUGGCAGAUUAGCUAGUUGGUGGGGUAAAGGCCUACCAAGGCGACGAUCUGUAGCUGGUCUGAGAGGACGACCAGCCACACUGGGACUGAGACACGGCCCAGACUCCUACGGGAGGCAGCAGUGGGGAAUUUUGGACAAUGGGCGAAAGCCUGAUCCAGCAAUGCCGCGUGUGUGAUGAAGGCCUUCGGGUUGUAAAGCACUUUUGGCGGGAACGAAAAGGACUGUGCAAAUACCACGGUUCGAUGACGGUACCCGCAGAAUAAGCACCGGCUAACUACGUG